CCGUCGACCUGAAGUCUACCGCUGUGGAUGUUAUUCCUGUUAAGCUGCCACCUGUGGUGAAGGUUGACAAAGUGAUUUCUAUGUCAGUUCUGCGACAAGUGUUGCCAAGAGCCAUUUUUGAAACCUGCUAUGCUGAAGAAGUUUAUCAAGAUGGCUUUUACUGCAGUGUGUGUGAGUUUGUGCCACCUGAAGGAAAAGAAGAAAGCAGCUCAUUAGCUCAGCUUCUCUCAGAGAUCAAGGA
This is a long non-coding RNA of Nematolebias whitei (Rio pearlfish), 241 nucleotides long. RefSeq lists it as uncharacterized. The record is from RefSeq and is a predicted model, not a curated record. The transcript has 3 exons. NCBI's taxonomy places the organism in Eukaryota, Metazoa, Chordata, Actinopteri, Cyprinodontiformes, Rivulidae.